Molecule: ribosomal RNA, 441 nt
Filed under: uncultured bacterium
Lineage: Bacteria
Description: partial 16S ribosomal RNA
Rfam family: Bacterial small subunit ribosomal RNA
Source: RNAcentral
CCUACGGGCGGCAGCAGUGGGGAAUAUUGCACAAUGGGGGAAACCCUGAUGCAGCGACGCCGCGUGAGUGAAGAAGUAUUUCGGUAUGUAAAGCUCUAUCAGAAGGGCAGACAAAAGACGGUACCUGACUAAGAAGCACCGGCUAACUAAGUGCCAGCAGCCGAGGUCAUACGUAGGGGGCAAGCGUUAUCCGGAUUUACUGGGUUGAACGGGUGCGUAGACGGAGAAGCAAGUCUGAAGUGAAAGCCCGUGGCUUAACCACGGGACUGCUUUGGAAACUGUUUGACUAGAGUGCUGGAGAGGUAAGUGGAAUUCCUAGUGUAGCGGUGAAAUGCGUAGAUAUUAGGAGGAACACCAGUGGCGAAGGCGGCUUACUGGACAGUAACUGACGUUGAGGCUCGAAAGCGUGGGGAGCAAACAGGAUUAGAUACCCUGGUAGUC